GUUCUAUCCAAUGAACUUAAUUCCUUUGUGCAUGAACCGAAAAAAGGAAAACAAGUAACUUGGUAAUUUCCCUCUCUGAGUUUUCCAAACUACUCAAUCAAACGGUGAGGGUCUCACACCUCGAUCACAUCAAUCUGCCUACGCAGUCAUCCGUCACAGAUCCUUAUCAGGAUACUUCACAGCCAUCAGCAACCGAUUCCACAAAUCUAUCCAAAAG
This 217-nucleotide long non-coding RNA is filed under the name Ananas comosus (pineapple). Its description in RNAcentral is "long non-coding RNA (ACOM_LNC025690)". Lineage: Eukaryota; Viridiplantae; Streptophyta; Magnoliopsida; Poales; Bromeliaceae. The record is from RNAcentral.